Molecule: ribosomal RNA, 426 nt
Filed under: uncultured bacterium
Lineage: Bacteria
Description: bacterial SSU rRNA
Rfam family: Bacterial small subunit ribosomal RNA
Source: RNAcentral
GUCGGGAAUAUUGCUCAAUGGGCGAAAGCCUGAAGCAGCAACGCCGCGUGCAUGAUGAAGGCCUUCGGGUCGUAAAAUGCUUUUUAGGAGGAUGAGGAAGGACAGUACUCCUAGAAUAAGCCACGGCAAACUACGUGCCAGCAGCCGCGGUAAAACGUAGGUGGCGAGCGUUAUCCGGAUUUACUGGGCGUAAAGCGCGUGCAGGCGGUCGGGCAAGUCGGGCAUUAAAUCUCUGGGCUUAACUCAGAGACGCUGUCCGAUACUGUUCGGCUUGAGGAUGGUAGAGGGCGAUGGAAUUCCGCGUGUAGUGGUGAAAUGCGUAGAUAUGCGGAGGAACACCAGUGGCGAAAGCGGUCGCCUGGACCAAACCUGACGCUAAAGCGCGAAAGCUAGGGUAGCGAACGGGAUUAGAAACCCUUGUAGUCC